AAGUGGAAAGGAAAGAAGUGUCAACUCUGUUCUCACCACAGCGGGGCUGUCGGAUGGCACCUCCCCCCGCCCCGCGCACCCCGCCCGGCCUGCUCCCCCGCCCUCCCCUCGGAGCGCGCGCGCAUACACCUCCCACCGCUUUGCCCAAAUUAUUUUCGAUCCCGGGAGACUCCGGAUGCCAGACGCGCUCCGCGGCGGCGGCGGCGGCGGCCGCGCCUGAUUCAUUGCGCCAAAGCUGCAGAUGCGACCUCCCGCCUGCGCCCUGUGCCCCGGCCUGCGUGCGCGCCUGGAGAGACUGGGGUGCACCGUCUCCAUGGAAACCGCGGAGGAGGUCACGGUAGCUGGGCCCCCGCGCGUCACCCCGCGCCUCGCCGGCUGCAGGCGCCCGGAUUGCGGCCUCCCAGGCGCCGCGGCCCGCGUGGACUCCACUCCAAGUUCCCCGCCCCCGCUCUACUCCGCCCGCGGCUCAGGCCAUGUGACUCUGCCGGGUCCAAACCCAGAAUGGCGCACCUGGGCACCAGUGCGCUAGGCUGUGCCUCUGUCCCCGGGCUCUGGCACGCGGGAAUGCGCCAAGAAACACGUGCCCAGCUCCAAGUCGGGAACAUGUGUGGCCAGACGCCGCCGAGGGGCUCAAUGCACUUGCGAAUGCCCUGGAAGAUCGACCUAUAUUGGCGCACAACUCCAGAGCUCUUGCUAAAACGAGACCGCCCGUGGUUAACGCCGGCUCUGGAGUCAGCCGAAUCCCGCCUAGGUAACUUAGCUAUGUGACUUCAAGCAAGUCACGACCUCUCUGCGCCUCAGCUUGCACAUCAGCAAAGCGGAAUUAGUGUGAGGCCUCAGACAAAGUACGUCAAACGCCUAUCACUGUGUUUGGCACGUGGUUCUGAAAAAUGGUAGCUGUGGUUGGGGUUAUUUUUUCCCAGCUGGGAAAGCCAAAGCCCAGAAGGCUUCGCUCAAGAGUGCGGUCAGCCUGAAGGCUGGGAGUUACACCUUGGGAGCUCCCCAGCACCUCAGCCUAGACGCAAAGGCGGGAGGUGAGGGCACGCGUGCCAGCGGCCUAGGGCCUGGGGCGCGGCGGACGGGGUUGGAGCCUCCCGAGCUAGCCACAUCCGCACCCGGAACCCUGGAAAGGGGGCUCCCCGCGGUCUCUCCACCCCCGCCCUCACCCCCGCGCCAGCACCAUUAGCAACAGGCCAGCCUGCCCUCCCUCCCAGGGCUGAGGCCGCACCUGCCCCACCGGAUGGCCGCCCCGGGGCCAGGCCGUGCCCCCCACCGCGCACACUUCCUCCGCCCGCCCCCCCCCAGCGCCCCGUCGAGUGCGCAGGGGGAGGGGAGCGGGCCGCCCCCGCCCCGCCAGCUUCCCACAGCCUGAGCUGCCCGGAGCCGGGGAGGCAGGAAGUCUCAGAGCCGGGGCGUGGAGGCGGGGUAGGGGCAGGAAGUUGGGGGUGACUCUCCCAGAGACCCCAGACGGGGCCCCGGCGUGGGAGCGGGGUGGGCGGGCGCGUAGGGAUUAAGGGUGCCCCC
Molecule: long non-coding RNA, 1524 nt
Filed under: Equus caballus (horse)
Lineage: Eukaryota; Metazoa; Chordata; Mammalia; Perissodactyla; Equidae
Description: lncRNA (ENSECAG00000055379.1)
Source: RNAcentral